AACGAACGCUGGCGGCGUGGAUAAGACAUGCAAGUCGAACGAGAAACUAUUGGAGCUUGCUUUGAGAGUUUCUAGUGGCGGACGGGUGAGUAUCACGUGAGCAACCUGCCCAGGAGAUCGGGAUAGCCCGGGGAAACUCGGAUUAAUACCGUAUAGCAUGGGAAAUGGCAUCAUUUCUUUAUUAAAGGUGGGGAUCUUCGGACCUGCCGCUUCUGGAUGGGCUCGCGGCCUAUCAGCUUGAUGGUGAGGUAACGGCUCACCAUGGCUACGACGGGUAACUGGUCUGAGAGGACGAUCAGUCACACUGGAACUGAGACACGGUCCAGACACCUACGGGUGGCAGCAGUCGAGAAUCAUUCGCAAUGGGGGAAACCCUGACGGUGCGACGCCGCGUGGAGGAUGAAGGCCCUAGGGUCGUAAACUCCUGUCAUCGGUGAGUAAGGCAGGUACGUUAAUAGCGUGCUCUGUUGAUAGUAACCGAAGAGGAAGGGACGGCUAACUUCGUGCCAGCCGCCGCCGUAAAAC
Molecule: ribosomal RNA, 525 nt
Filed under: uncultured bacterium
Lineage: Bacteria
Description: bacterial SSU rRNA
Rfam family: Bacterial small subunit ribosomal RNA
Source: RNAcentral